Molecule: ribosomal RNA, 387 nt
Filed under: uncultured bacterium
Lineage: Bacteria
Description: bacterial SSU rRNA
Rfam family: Bacterial small subunit ribosomal RNA
Source: RNAcentral
GACGAACGCUGGCGGCGUGCCUUACACAUGCAAGUCGAACGGCAGCACGGGAGCAAUCCUGGUGGCGAGUGGCGAACGGGUGAGUAAUAUAUCGGAACGUGCCCAGUAGUGGGGGAUAGCCCGGCGAAAGCCGGAUUAAUACCGCAUACGACCUGUGGGUGAAAGCGGGGGAUCGCAAGACCUCGCGCUAUUGGAGCGGCCGAUAUCAGAUUAGCUUGUUGGUGGGGUAAAAGCCCACCAAGGCGACGAUCUGUAGCUGGUCUGAGAGGACGACCAGCCACACUGGGACUGAGACACGGCCCAGACUCCUACGGGAGGCAGCAGUGGGGAAUUUUGGACAAUGGGCGCAAGCCUGAUCCAGCCAUGCCGCGUGAGUGAAGAAGGCCU